Molecule: transfer RNA, 78 nt
Filed under: Sphaerodactylus townsendi
Lineage: Eukaryota; Metazoa; Chordata; Lepidosauria; Squamata; Sphaerodactylidae
Description: tRNA-Ala
Rfam family: tRNA
About the family: Transfer RNA (tRNA) molecules are approximately 80 nucleotides in length. Their secondary structure includes four short double-helical elements and three loops (D, anti-codon, and T loops).
Source: RNAcentral
GGGGUCAUGGCUCAGUGACAGUGACAGAGCAUCAGCUUGGCAUGCAGAAAUCCCCAGGUUCAAUCCCUGACAUCUCCA